Molecule: ribosomal RNA, 468 nt
Filed under: uncultured bacterium
Lineage: Bacteria
Description: partial 16S ribosomal RNA
Rfam family: Bacterial small subunit ribosomal RNA
Source: RNAcentral
GACGAACGCUGGCGGCGUGCUUAACACAUGCAAGUCGAACGGAAAGGCCCUGCGUUUGUGGGGUGCUCGAGUGGCGAACGGGGGAGUAACACGUGAGUAAACUGCCCUUGACUGUGGGAGAUCUUCAGGAAACUGUGGCGAAUACCGGAUAGGAGCUCCUGCUGCAUGGGGGGGGUUGGAAAGUUUCGGCGGUGGGGGCUGGACUCGCGGCUUAUCAGCUUGUUGGGGGGGUAGUGGAUUACCACGGCUUUGACGGGUAGGCGGCCUGAGAGGGUGGCCGGCCACCUUGGGCCUGCGGUACGGCCCAGUAGCCUACCGGCCGCAGCAGUCGGGAACCUUGCACAAUGGGCGGAAGCCUGAUGUGGCAACGCCGCGUGCGUGAUGCCCGCCUUCGGGUUGUAAACCGCUUUCGCCUGUGCCGAAGAGUGCGUGACGGUAAUGGGUCAAGAAGCACCGGCUAACUACGUG